GGUGAUCUAUGCUUGAGAUCUAUUCAGUGAUUAAAGGGGCUGUGUGCUGGCUGCUGUUCCUGCUGAAAGAAAAAAGAGAAAAACAUAAAGAGGAUACAGAAUGACCACACUAAGCACUUUAAGCAAUAAACGUUUAUGCUUUUAAAAAUGGGAAAAAAUGACAUUUAAUAAGAGAAGAAAAUGAGAAUAUCAACCCCCAUAAAGCAAAUGGUGUGGAUCAGCACAGGCUCAGCUCUGCCUGAAGUGACUUGGGCUAUUCUGGUGACUUGAAAAUUCUUAUGUGAGGAGCCCUGAGUGGGAUUAUUUGCACCUAAAGCAAUUUCCAGAAUGUGAAUGGUGACCAGAACACACAGAGGCAGAAAAGCAAACGGGAAAUAGAUGGGAGAAAUCCUGCAGUGCUGGGAUGGGCAGAGCUCUGGUCACAUCAUUCACAGAAUAAAAAAUGCAGAAACUCUGAGUUCAGCCAUUCAGCAUAAGAAGUCGAUGGACAAUCUGAACUUGAGUGGAUCAAAAAGCAAUGAAAAUAUAACCAAAAUGGAACUACCUGCCCAAACACAGCAAGCGUGUAUCACAGCUAAAGAUGUCUGUAGCCCACUGAAGGCCCAUUUGAAGCACCAAAGGCUCUGCAGUUGGCUCCUUGGCAAUGCUGCAAUGGCAGCGAUGUGGCACUUCUGUGCUCAGGCUGCGUGGGGUCACGCAGGUCCUUAGGCUGCUGUAAUGUGGAGCACUGCGAAGUUUUUAAUUUCACUGUUCUGGGCUGUUAGCCUGGACACGUCCAACUCCAAAGGGCCAGCCCUACUUCAGUAACUCUUUGAUGCACAGUGAAUACAUAUUAAGAGAUCCUGAGGGACUGUGCUUUCCCUGAAGCUGGUUGGCAGUGUGAGGUGCCAAAACAGGAAGAGUAAUGAAAGGGUACUCAUCCUAUCUCACAUGUCAGGCAGAGGAGCGCGCAGCAGGAGGAGAUGAUGGUAAGUAUUAAAUCCUUCAUGGAAGAUGCUUAGGGAAGCAGUAAGGCCCUUUUGCAAGCAGCUGAGUGCUGUGCCUUAGCAGAGUUCCACUAACAUGCCUGCGCUCACUGUGCGGGGGCUCUGCGCAUGAUCUUGG
Gallus gallus (chicken) is the source of this 1104-nucleotide long non-coding RNA. The record is from Ensembl. NCBI's taxonomy places the organism in Eukaryota, Metazoa, Chordata, Aves, Galliformes, Phasianidae.